UUUUAACUUCUUCAAGCAUAAAAAUGUAAAUUCACCCAAAAAGUCAAAUGAAAUUAUGAAGUACACCAAAACUCAUGACUCUUGGCAGCUCUGUGCAAUGAACACAGGACGAGUACAGGUUAAACUGGGAAUACGGGAUCAGAGAGAUGGUUCAGUGAGUAAAGGUGCCUGCUGCCAGGCCGAAGGCCUGACCCUGACCCCUAGAAAUCAAACGGUAGAUAGAGAGGACAGGCUUCUGCAAGCAAGCGGUCCUCUGACCCCACAUGCAUGGCAUAAUCCACAUGCCACCCCUUAUGCCAAUUAAUAAAUAAAAAUGUAACACAACUUUAAAGGGGGAAAUUAAGAAAUCUAUAUAGAACUCAGAAGGCCCCUUUAUAUGUGCGUUUCUAUGGAGACAGCAGUAAACUGAACUGCAUUGCUUCUGUGAAUAUCCUUUGGAUUGGGUCAUUACUUAAAAUCAGUUUUCUCUUACUUUUUUCUAGGCAGUUCUCCCAUUUCUACUCCUGUCUACCUUUUUAUCUGAAUAUUUCUUGCUCAGUCAUUCCUGAGCCUAUCCCAGGACCAAGUGAGAGAUACCAACAACAGAACCCUCAUUCACUUUCUGCACACUAGGCUGUUGGGGUUUCCAUGAGUCUCUUACUGAGGUUCUGAAUUUCAUCACCUCAUAAACAGAAUCAUUACAAACCACUGACCCAAGGGUGGGGACAGAGUCACAAAUGAUGACAGGGAGGUUUGCCCUCUGCAGCUGAUGGACUCAUGGGAGAAAGACACAACAAUGAAAUGGCAAGAACUAAGAAAAAAUGAGGCAAGCUGAAUACCCAGCAAGAGAAUAUAAUGUGAUGACAGUUUCCAUCUUCUUUGGAGAGAGAGUUAUGAGUCUUGGGUGUGAAAGGCCCAGCACAAUGGAGACUGGUGGCAGCCCCCCCAUCGGCUCACCGCCUUCUUUAAAGUCCACAGAGGAUGGCAGUUUGGAUGGAAACCCCAAAAUCUAUUCUGUCCAUCUGUUUUAUUAUUCUUAGAACAACUGUCAAAAGUUGCCCAGGGAUCAAGUUGCAAACGUACUAAUUUGCCUUUGAAAAGUGGGCCCUGGGGGAAUUCUGGAACUCUGCUUAUAAAUGCAGAAUCCCCUCAGCCAGCCAGCCUGCCCUACCCUUUGUGGAGGUAUGAGACUUUGCACUUCCAGGCAUACAUCUGCCUCAAGGCUGGGAUGCCCUGAUAGACUUGCAUCCCACUUCAUAGGCAAAUGAAGGGGAGCCACAGGGACUUGGCAUCUUAAGGGCUGGCUUGUUCCCUGACAAGCAGACUGAGUGCUUUAGGAGGCAGCCCCUUCAUUGAUCAUGGGUGGAUGAAAGACCAAAGCUUUGUACUGGAGGGUUAAAGGCGUGAACGUGCAAAGGGAUACCCGUUCUGUACUCUUUUAUAUCCCUGGGCCAAACAGGAGAUAGGAGCCUGAAAUAAAACACUGAAGAAAUAAGCUGAAGAUAAAAAACUAUAAGCCACUGAACGUGGUGCCAUUUGUGUUUGUGGCUAUGCUGAAACAAUAACAACAACAACAGAAAGUCUGGACAGACAGACUGUCAGACGUGGUCUUGUCAGGAAUUACAAGCCAUACCUAGAGAGCGGUCAUGCUAAAAUACUGGGGCAUUUAGGCAACAUGCUACUCUGCCCACAAGUAAAGCCUGUUCCUUAAGCUGGCUGUGCUCAGGGCGUGUGCACACACUGCAUCUGGAUGGAAGUGCACGUGGGCUCACCGGAUAUAGUAAGAUGAGGGGCAAGGGCCAGCACUGAUGGGGGUCACUCCUAGUGACCAGCCUUCUCCACUAGGUCCCAGUGGCAAAAAGCUUUCAAUGCAUAGGACCACAGAACCAUACCUGCAAAACAAGAUGGUUUAGGGUUCUGAGUUUCUCAGUUCUAGAGAAAACUGAAAAAGAGGUCCCGUCAGGGCUCCCAUGAUGGCAUUUGGCUUGUACUCACUCAGAUUACCAAAAAAGUAUGCGGCUUUGAUUAAAAAGUUCCUCGAGCAUGUUGCAAAUGACUGCGGCAGGAAACCUGCUGGGAGCCCACUGCAGACGCACAGAAGGGAUCACCAGUUGGACCUGCUGCUUUGUCCUCCUUCUUAUUAUAAUAAGGCAUGUAUUAUCCUUUUUUAGAGAUUUGAAUAACAGAAAGUCUCACUUUCAAAAUAGUGCUUAUGAUCCCAGAGUCGACGAUGUUUUCUGUUGGUGCGGUCUCUUCAAAAUGGGAUGGAUAAUUAGUAAACUGAAAUUUGAUUAAUGUUGGAUUAAGAGGUUCGGAUGCUUUCCUGCAAUGUGUUAUUUCAGUCUGUGGUCACUGGAAGAGACUAUCUUUAGGAAACCUGUUCCCUCUGUUUUCCAGAACGAAAAGAUGAGCUUCAAACCUCGUCUUUUAAAUAAAGAGAAUUCAGUCUGAACAAGUCAGAUCUUUUUCUCUCUCCUUUCCCCCUCUAUUUUUAAAAAUUGUCUGUCACUCUGAAGUUGGAGACCAUGAAUUAAUCAAGAACAAAAUAAAACAGAAAUACAAGUCUUCCUCAAAAUCGCUCAGGGUGAGUCCUUCCUGGUUAUAGUGGGCAACUAGGCAUAGACAGGUUUUGACAGCCUCUGCUCUCGUAGGCUCCAGCACGGGCUUUUGGGAAAGUAAAGAACUCUGGAAACAAAAGGUCUGCCUGGCCUGGUAUAGAUUCCAGUCAUUGAAGUAACCGUUUAAAUAAAUAAUAUUCCAGGAAAAACUUAUAGUAUUUUGUGCUUUCAAAUAUCAGGGUGGAGUUACCUCUUGUAGGUUUCCUGCAGUUACCUGAGCCAGAUGAUGACCAUUUUCAUGAUCAGUGGCCAGGUUCUUUUUUCCUGUGUUAAAAUUCACGUUGUUCCCCUAUUGCUGAAGAGAGUGGAAGAAUUAGAAAUGAUGGCUCCCUUUGAAGCUAUGUCAUUCCACGUAACUGUAAAUGCUAAGACACUGUCAUUUACGGAAUGACCUUUUGGUCUUUGAAUAUUUAGACAUCAAUAAAUGCCAAAUGCCCAGAUAUGCUCACAGCACUAUGAGGAAGGUAAGCAGGGUCAGCUAACACCCUCUCGCAUGCCUUUGGCAUGACAACCAUUUUCACUUUUCUAACAGCUUUCUAAUAGCAAAAUGUAUUUAGGAACAACAGUGGAAUUUGUGUCAUCAUGACCAAAUGAUUACGGUGCAAACCCGAGAUUCUUCUGGGGCCCAGCAGGUUUCUGGUCCCUAUGGAAACGAAACCUCAUACAUUGUCCUCCACUCAGCUGUAGGACAAGGCCGGGAGGCUUUUGUGCUCAGUGAGAUUUCUUCCACAACCUUCCCGCAACAGACCCCAGCGCUUCCUCCCAACGCCUUUCUAAUUGAGAUGCAAAUGCAUCUCCCUGGCUGAUUACACUUCCCUUAAAGCAACUGACGAAGGCAGCUGUAACUGGAGUUUGCAGACGGUCCAACAAGUGAUUUCAGCUGUCAGUAUUUGCAUGCUUGGCCUAGACCAGGCCACUGCCUACUGGUCUCAGAACUUCCUUUGCGCAUCGGAGGGGUUUUUAUUUAUGUGCGUAAAAUUUACACACAUUACUAGUUAAAAAAAAUAACCACCCCUGCCCCAGCAACCUACUUAUAGGGCCUUGGAUCUGAAAUAACAAAAAACUCAGGGCUUUCUGGCCAUUUCCCUCUCAGCCUUCACUGGGGCUGUCUGUCACUCCUUCCUGAAGGUCUAAGCUGUGGUGGCCACAGUAGGGGGUCUCCAUGUAAGUUUUCAGACCUUAACCGUCUUUGAGCUCAUUUUUCCUCCCUAAAUACUCAUGUUUCUUUGAAAACUGAUUGCUGAAUAGUCUUUAUGUUGCUUUCACAUCGCUCGAGUCUAUUAAUUUCAAAAUACAAAGCCCUUCAAUAACUUUUAGGGAGAUAUCUAUACUCUAUCAAUCCCUCAUGUACGAGGACUGAACCUAGGACUUUACAUGCUAAGGAAGUGCUCUACCACUGUGCAGGCUUAUCUUUUGUCAACUUGACAAAAGCUAGAAUUAUCUGAAGGGAGGGACUCUUAAUAGAGGAGUUGCCUCCAUAAGAUUCAGCGGUAAGGCAUUCUCUUAGUGAUUGAUGGGGAAGGCCCGGCCCAUUGUGGGUGGUUCCAUUCUUGGGCUGGUGGUUCUGGGUUUUGUAGGAAAGAAGGCUGAGCAAGUCAUUAGGACCAAGCCAGUAAGCAGCAUCCCUCAAUGGCCUCUGCAUCAGCUCCUGCCUCCAGGUUCCUGCCAUUUGAGUUUCUGUCCUGACUUCCUUCCACGAUGAACAGUGAUAUGGAAGUGUGAGCCAAAUAAACUCCUUUCUCCCCAACUUACUUUUGGGCAGUGGUGUUUCAUCGCAGCAAUAAACCCUAAAUCUCCAGCUACAAAAUUGUUUUGGACACAAUAAAAGGAAACAUUAACAUAACCAUCCAAUAAAAGAAAAUUUCAUAUAAUACCUAGUUUUCCAAGAAUUUUUUCCAGCUUUUCAAAAGGCCCUUUAUGCUGUUUUUAAGACGUGCUUCUGAAGUCAGCUCUUCCUACCAGGCACCAGGUAUCGCAGGUGCUUUGAGUGUUUAGCACAGAGCUGAACUGUGUGUCUUCAAAAUGGAAAAGCAGGGCUUACAAGGUACAGCAUAUGCAGAUGACAACACAGGCUGUACAUGGACCUACUUUUCAUUGGAGACAACGAAUGCUCCCAACUCUGGGAAAAAAAAUGCAGUGUUAUAAAGUAUUUGUUUUAUCUUUUGAUACUGUUUCCCACAAUAAGUUUACCAAAUGAAUGUCUUUUUUUUUUCUUUUUCUUCUUCUUUUUUCUUUUUUUCCGGACCUGGGGACCGAACCCAGGGUCUUGCGCUUGCUAGGCACAAGUGCUCUAUCACUGAGCUAAAUCCCCAACCCCCAAAUGAAUGUCUUAUUUCUUGUCGCUGCCCUGCCCCCAGCCCCACCACCUUUACACACAUACACAUAAUGUACCAGGAGGUAACAAGGAGAGUGACAAUAAGAAAAAGAAAACAAGGCCCACUCUGGGAACUUCACGGUACAGCUCUGAGCUGCAUGCUUAAUGCAGAGGUGGACUGAUCUGGACUCGUAAGUCAAGGGAGCAAAAGACUGUGUGGGUCAGACAGUGAGGAGGAUGAGAAUCUAUACCACAGGAGAGACCCACGAGUAGCAUGUGGGGCGAGGUGCAGCAAACUGACCCUGAGGUCAGCAUAGUGGGAAGCAACACCCCCGCCCAUGACAGCUUGCAGUGUGACAGGGUGAUCCAGUUGAGACAGUGGCCAAGUUAGUGCCCGGCUCCUGUGCAUAUUUCCCCGGGCACAGCAUUAGCUUGGUUUCUUACACACUAUUCAUUAGAAUGCUUAGUGUUCUUGAGAUUGGGUCUUUUUAACUGUCACUGCACACCAAAAAUAGCAAAAUGGUUACUGUGUCUUCACAAAAAUAUCCCCUGCAACUAGGCGCUCCCUAUAGGCUUCGGGGCAGCUUUGAUCUUAGGGAGCAGAAUGGUAUGGCAGGGUUUCUAUACAAGGGUGAGGAGACACCUCCUACCCUUUACUUUAGUAUUUUCUAGGUAAAAGGUCAACACUCCUGGCAUGUAACCUCCAGCUGGGAUCUUUGAAUCUGCACACCUGAGCUUAGAACCCCUUAUUUAUGGGAAUCAGACUGGUGGCACCACUUCCUGGACUUCCAUCCACACAAGGUCCUGCUUUAUUUACUGUUGGGACCCGAACUCAUGGGGAGGAACCAUGAUGGUGGUGCUGGCACUGGGUCUCAUGAGGUGGGGACUAUGGUGGCUAUAAGGAUAGGUACCCUGUGAAGAGAUCUAAUAGGCUCAGAUAUUCUUAUUCUUUAGAAGAAAGUGGUUUUUCUAAUCUACAUUUUGGGAGGAUGAGGGGAUGGUUCAGCAGUAAGAGUGCUUAUUGCACAUCCACGAGGAGCAGAGUUCAUGCCUUAGCACUUGAUAUGAGCCAGGUAUCCCACAAAUGCCUAGAACCCUAGCUCUGAGGGAUCCAAUGUCCUCUUUUAGCCUCUAAGAAAACAGUUGCUCACACAUAUGCAUAUAUACUCACAUAGACACAUGCAUACACACAUAAAUUAAUAUUUAACUGGAAAGAAGCCUCAAUGGUUAAAAGUACACACUGCUUUUACAGAGGGCCUAGGUUUGGUUCCCAGUACUAACAGGGGAACUUACUACAGUUGUAACUCCAUGCCUUCUGACUUCUGCAGGCUCCUGGUAUACAUGCAUGCAUAUAGGCAAAUCCUCCCCACCCCCAAAACAGUGGUUCUCAAUGUUCCUAAUGCUGAGACCAUUUUAAUACAAUUUCUCAUGUUUUGGUGACAUUUUUUGUUGCUGCUUCAUAAUUGUAAUUUUGCUACUGUUAUGAAUCAAGAUGAAAAUAUCUAUGCUUUCCAAUGGUCUUAGGUGGCCCCUGUGAAAGGGUUGUUCCAUUCUCUAAAGGGGUCAUGGCCACAGGUUGACAACCACUGACAUAAAAUAUUCCCUUUUAAAAAGAGAUCUACAUUUUAAAAAAUGCAGUCUCCCUGUUUUUCACUGUGCUAACAAUCUCCAGUGUUUUGGUAACACAGGGAGGCCAAGUGCAGUUCAAACAAAGCCCAUCUGUAGGCUGGAUUCAGUGUGCAGGCAGCUGGUUUGCCAGUUCUGGGCUCUGAUUGUUUGCCUGACACUGAGCUAGAGCUGCUCUGUGGCUGCCUCUCCCCACUGGUCUCCGAUCUCGGCCCAUUUACAACCUCCCAGGUCCUAGAGGUGAUGCCUUCUUGGUUUUAACAGCUUCCAGAUAGCUGAGGCUGCAUAAUAACCACACUUUAUCCAGAUCUGCUCUGAGAUGAGAGGCCCUUCUUCCAGUGUGGCCCCCAGAGCAGCACACUACCUUUUGGAUAGGAACACUUGAGGCUGCAGGAGCAGACAGUACCCUAAUGCUUGUGCGUGGAUCUUGUGCUUUUCUGCACCAUGUCCUAGAAGUGUUACAUGUGACAUUCUCAUCUCUCAUCUCAACUCUGUGGUCACUCCACAUCUCCAGUGCUGUUCAGGAUGGCUCCUAUCAACUCACAGCACCCAGUCCUGCCCCGACACAGCUGGUUACCCAGGCCACUCCUUUCUGGUCUCACUGUCUGGGCCCAAGGGAUCAUCUGCUGAGACAGCCCUGGUUUCUGACCUUGCCUGGGAUUACUUUACCCAUUUGAGGAUGAUAGUUGUAGAACUCGGCUAAGUCAUUAAUACAAUAGUUACGUGGAAGAUGAGUAGGAAGAUGUACAGACAGUGUACAUCUGUACGUAGCGCAGUGUAGCUUCAGGACUGAAGCGCUGCAGUUCUGGCCACAGGGAAGCCAUCCGUCGCUCAGGGUCCCAGAGCUCUCGCUCAUAUCUUCCAGGUGAUCAAGAUAUUUUGUCAAAGUUAAGAUUUGUAUUUGUAAGCUUCUAGGCUCUGAAGAAAAUGUGUUUGUGACACCCUUACUCUUUGAGAACAUGUUCCUUUCUGAAGUUUCAGGGUCCUUUUUUAAUGAUUUAGCUUUACAGAUUUAUAAGGGAUCCAAGCAAAAUUUCAAAAUGCAGCCUUUAAUCCUAUUUGUAAAUAAGGGAAUCUUUUUCUUGUUUACAGUUUUCAGUUUACCUUUUAUUCAGCAUGAUUACUCGUGUGUGUGUGUGUGUGUGUGUGUGUGUGUGUGUGUGCGCACGCUCACGUGAGCACAAGCGCCUGUACACAGAAGCGUCUCUUACAGCUCUGAGCUCUGAUGCAUAUCUGCUCUGUGUAAGGGCGGAAAUGGGUGGCUCUGAAUAGGGACUUUACUUGCAGGGGCCAAUCUCCAUUCUUUUUAUUGUACUCUCUGUGCCAUGACAGCUCCAGAAGCUGGGGACUCUGGGGACAUUAUUAUGAGUGCUGAUCUUUAAAGCACUUGGAGCACUUCCUUUAAUCUUUUUUUUUUCCAUCUUUAUUAAAUUGGGUAUUUCUUAUUUACAACUUCCUUUAAUCUUAAUGUACAGAUUUUAAACACAAAUUUAUCAUAAACCAACUGCCUGGGCAACUACCACGGUUGCUUUUUCAUGCCUGCCUCUUUUCCUAACUUAAAAUUUAUAAUGUAAAGAUCUCAUUAUUAGGAAUCAUUAUUAGGAAUCUUUCACCCCUGGGAAAAUGUAGAACUUGGCCUCUCAAGUUUUUGCACCGUGCUUCCCACGUGUCUAGAGUACAGUUCUAUUUCUACUUUUCUCCCAUCCACAUACAAACUCUAGCACAAACCCACUAUUCUCUGCAACACUCAGAGUCACAACAAGUUCUUUCAAGUUGUGAAGACGUGAAGCAUAGGUGCUGCAUUUUGUGUUUUGCUUCUUGUUUCCUGAGCGAUGAGACUGGCUGCCAGGCAAGACCUCGGUACAUAUUUGUUGAAUGGUAGAGCGCUUCAGUCAAUUCUGCGCAGUAGAGACAGCCAGUGCAUGGUGUUGUGGUAGACUGUUAAGGCCCCCAUCCCUCCAGUGUCACCCAUGCCUUCCAGCUGCAGCCUUUGCCUGCCAUUCAGUCUGUUUAAAUUUAGUUCCCUCCCAUUAAUUUCCCAUCCAUAAGUAUGCAAUCCCACCCCAAAGUGUCUUCCUUCUUUUUGGAAACUACCUACUAUGUUUUGGGUUUUCCCUUUUUGGUAACUCAGUUUUCAGUCCUCUUACACCCAAUUUUCUCCCAUCUAUAUACAAACUCCAGUACAAACUCACCAUGAUCAGCAAAGACCUGAGACUACUGGCCCCAGUGAUGGAUGAAGUCAACUACUAGUAUAUGACUUGCUCAGCCAGUUCGCUGAAAGAAACGCUUCCUCUCUCCCCUCUGGCUUCCCUUUUCUUAUGUCUCUAUGGCUACAAAACCUAUUCCUUCCUGUUCCACAGAACGCUAUCUAUGGUUAUGCACUGAAUCAGCCCAAUGCCUACAGAGGUUCAGACCUGUUCCCUUGCCACUGCUACAGAGCAGGCCCUGUUCUCUCCCAGACAGAACUCCUUCCAGGGCUCUGCGCAGGCUCUCACUGCCUGUCCUCGCUGUGUGCCUGUUCCCGUAUGUGCAUAUCCUGCACUCUGCCAUACGGAAGCAUCUGUUAUUCUCAUAUGGAAUGGGCUUUCAUAGCCUGGUCCAUGAGCAAACAGUGUCCUCUCUCCCUUGGAAUAUCUUAUUCAUAUUUAUAUUCCUAGUGGUUAGGAUGGUGCCUGGCACAUGGCAGGAAAGCUGCAAAUGCUGACACGUGCAUAAUUGGUUGUGCAUGGUGAAAUAAAACACAUGGUAUGGUUUGAUUUCCUUUCUACAGCAUGGGGAGAUGGGCAGAAGAAAUCAAAGGUCUGUCCAGGAAGAAGAGCUCAGGAUCCCAGUGGAGAAGAAAGAGCUUGAGCUGUUAGUACUUUAAAGAGAAGGGUCAUUUUUGAAGCUGUGUAAAUUAGGAGCAGAAUCUAGCAAUGCUAUUAAACUCACAUAUCUGAGAGAGAAGCUCUAGUAUUACCAUAUGGUCAUGUACCUGUUAGCUUACAAUGAGAGCUAAUUUCACUUGUGACAGAACAAGGCAUAAAACUUUUUC
Molecule: long non-coding RNA, 9571 nt
Organism: Rattus norvegicus (Norway rat)
Lineage: Eukaryota; Metazoa; Chordata; Mammalia; Rodentia; Muridae
Source: RefSeq, a predicted model, not a curated record